CCCCAUAACACCUUCAGAAAACAUAAAAACAAGCUCAGGAUCUUCACUUACCUCUUGAAACCAAGAAGAUGAACGAUCCUCACGUGGAGUUUUGGAGCAACUCUCCUUCAAACUCUCCAACCUUCACAACUUUGAGUUUUUAGCUUAAAACCUUCAAAAUACCAUAAAAACUAAUCAAAUCUUUGCAUGAUUGAAUGAAAACAUGAAAGAACACUCAUAAAGGGCAGGGUCU
RNAcentral lists this long non-coding RNA (232 nucleotides) under Manihot esculenta (cassava). RNAcentral describes it as "long non-coding RNA (MESC_LNC002320)". The record is from RNAcentral. Lineage: Eukaryota; Viridiplantae; Streptophyta; Magnoliopsida; Malpighiales; Euphorbiaceae.